GAUUACUUGCUCAGUGACUAUAAUGCCUAAACUUUCUACGCGGUUUUAAUCGUGAAAAAAAAACAAUUAUAAAUCCUGAAGGAUCAAUUAAUUGGUAUACAGUUUAAUUAAAAAAAUUAAAAACAAAAUAAAUAAAAUAAUGUGCAUUCGCGUAAAGUUAGACCAAAUACAUUUUUUCCAUCCUCCUAUAUACCUAUCGCUAUGAAGGUAUAAAAAAGAUAGGUUAAGAGUUCACAUAGGUAAUAUAAACAAAUAAGUAAAUAUGUUCAUUAUUUAUCUUUCAAGAGAUAAUGUAGGUAUACAUUAUAAUAACAUUUUGACACAGUCGAAAUUAUAUUCCUAACAUUAGUAAAAUAACAUUUUAAUAUUUUUUUUAUAGGUUAUGUAUUGAAAUUGUUGGAAAAUUAUUUCAUGUUUUAGCUGGAAAACUACAUGGAGAAUUAUAUGCAAUACAAGAUAAUGAGCUCCAUCAAAUGAAUUCGAAUGAAACCAAACUGUUUACCAUCCAAAUUCGAUUGUCGGGCAGAUAGAAAACGAAAAUUCAAUCAUAGUGAACCUCGGCCUGCAUUUGUGAAACGGCAAAGACUCACUAUUAUCAAGGAAAUUGAAGAGACGACUAAAAAUGAGAUGUGUCGUAUUAUUAUACCUUUGCCAUCUUGUAGUCAAGAUGUCCAGCCACUUGAAAAUAGGUGUAGUAAUGACAAAGCUAUCCAAGUAGCUCCAGCACAGGAACACAAAGGCAAGGCAAGUGUGUAUUGCCACAUCACCCCUUAAUAUAUCUGAAGCAAGUAUAAGUAAACAAUCAGAACCAGCAAAAAAAAAACUGUUGUUCCUGAGGACAAAUUUGACAGUGAUGAGUCAAAUGCACCAGCAACAGAAGGAUCAACUGUUGACUAUGAGUUAUCUCUCUAUAUCUCCACUCCAUCAAAGACUUGUGCACUUCAGACUAUAGCUCUCAAGAAGACUAAAAAGUUGAAAAAAUGAAUGUGUUAACAACUUUAUCUAAAGUGAAAAAUAAACAACGUUUAUAUAUUGGUCUUCCACAAGAAUUAUGUUUCAUAAUAGGCUUGAUUGAGAAACAUACAAAUGUUUCUGAACAAAAUAUUAUAUUAUGUCUGAUGAGAAUAACAUUAAAUAGAACAUUCUCUCAAUUGGCUGAUGAUUUCGAUUUAUCUGUAAGUCAAGCAAGCAAUAUAUUUUUCAACAAACUCCCAGAAAUUGCAAAUGUAAUAUCACCCCUUGUUAGACUAUAAAAAAAACAAUACAAUAAAUAUAUAUGCAGGAAGGAUAAUUGAUGUCAACUUGGUGGAAAAUAGAAAGUUUUUAGAUAGUUUGCCACCUACAAAACUCUUUAAUUAAAUAAGUAAUCCUUACUUAUAAAUAGGAAGUUUUGUAAGUAUUUUCACUCUUCAUUCAAAAAUUACUGAACAGAUUUUAAUAAGACUUUUAUGCUGGUCUUCUAUGGCUAGCAACUCAUUAUUAUUUUGAUUCUGUUUUCCACAAAUGUGCUAAAUAUGGGCUUUUAAAUAUGAAAAGGAAUAAAUAUUAAUGUUAUGUAACCUUUGUACCUGUAUGUUAAGAAUAAUUUUUAAUAAAACAUAAUUUAAAUUGAAAUAUUAUUUUUAUUAAAUCACAUUCACUUUGUACACAUCAAUAUUUUGUACUCCCUAUUUUUUUAUUAUUUUUUUUAUUGCUUAGAUGUGUGGACGAGCUCACAGCCCACCUGGUGUUAAGUGGUUACUGGAGCCCAUAGACAUCUACAACGUAAAUGCGCCACACACCUUGAGAUAUAGUUCUAAGGUCUCAGUAUAGUCACAACGGCUGCCCCACCCUUCAAACCGAAACGCAUUACUGCUUCACGGCAGAAAUAAGCGGGGCGGUGGUACCUACCCGUGCGGACUCACAAGAGGUGCUACCACCAGUAAUUACGCAAAUGAUAAUUUUGCGGGUUUGAUUUUUAUUGCACGAUGUUAUUCCUUCAUCGUGGAAGUCAAUCGUGAACAUUUGUUGAGUACGUAUUUCAUUAGAAAAAUUGGUACCCGCCAGCGAGAUUCGAACACCAGUGCAUCGCUCGAUACGAAUGCACCGGACGUCUUAACCUUUAGGCCACGACGACUCACUAAAAGGAAAAUAGGUAUAAAGUUUUUUUUAAAUAUUUAACAUUACAUUUUUGUGUAAGAUUAGAAAAUUGUUAUUCUUCCAAAAAGAAACUACAUUAUCUAACAACUGUGCAACUUACUCGGAAUCAAAAUCAAUACCUACUAAUUAUAGUGACCUGAUUAGUUUUUUCAAAGUUGCUGGAUGCUACACAAAAGUAGCAAGUUUUACUUUUAGCACAAUACAUAUGCAUUUGAACUUGUGCAUAAUAUCUUUCUUUAAUUUUUUUUUGCCUUUUUAUUUAUGGAAACAUAGCAUUACUCACUUGCUUGUUUGUAGAUCUAUCAAAAAAACAUAAUUUAUGUUUUUUUUAGCACAGUGGGCAAUACCCUAUUAUUCAUAUUAAUUAUAUACGGCGCGGCGAUGCGAAAAUUCAUUACUGAAUUAUUUAAGAAUGAUAGGCAUAAUAUAAUAUUUUAAUUCGCGAUCUGUUUAUAAUUUUUAAUAUAUGAUUUAAAAAUAAGUUAUCUUUAAUAUUUUUAAUUUUGUGAUUUAUGGGGUGGUCACAGUCAUUAUUAUAAAAAUAGAAAUUUUGAGGAAAUAUAAAUGUUUAAUACAAAUUAUUUUGAUAAUCGAAAUAAAUUCAUAUCAAUCCAAAUUCAUAUUUGAACUAUGAAAAUUGUAUGGUAUGUAAACAGAAAUAUAUUUUAUAAUUAUAAUGACUAUUUAUUCCAUGCAGUAUCUGUGCAAGCUUCUCUAACCGACACUGCAACUAGAAUAAAGUCUAAUAAAGAAUAAGAAUAAACUUUUCUUCGAAGCUCAAUUCUACAAGGGUAUUCAAUCAGAUAGCUAUCUAUCUGUCGUUCCUGUAUGAAAUUUUGAUAUAUUAAGGGGUGAUGUGGCAAUACACACUUGCCUUGCCUUUGUGUUCCUGUGCUGGAGCUACUUGGAUAGCUUUGUCAUUACUACACCUAUUUUCAAGUGGCUGGACAUCUGGAAAUAUGAAAUAAUGUUAGCAAUUUCCAACAAACGUAUAGUUUGUAAAUAUAUAGGAUUAUAUGUGUACUGUCAUAGUAGUAGUAGUAGUAUUUAACUUCCUAGUCAUCAUCAUCAGCCCAUAUAAUAUAUCCCCUUGCUGGACACUGGCCUUCACUACCAUUGAGAGGGUUUUUAGGCCUUAGUCCACCACGCUGGCCUAGUGCUGGUUGGUGGAUUACACACCUAAGAAAAUCCUAAGAACAUUUAGGUGUGCAGGUUUCAUCACAAUGUUUUCCUUCACUGUUAAAGUAAGUAAGUGAUAUUACACUGUGAUAAAUUUUCAUUUUCACAAACUUCCUAGUACCUUAUGUAAUAGGAACUGAGAUCCACUUGCCCAUUUUGGCUACUUCCACUAACUAACUAACUAUUCUCAUUUUUUCUGAUAUUGUUAUUUGAUUAGGAGAUCUGUGAGUGUAACUAAUUAUUGACAGUUACACCUACCUUGACUACAAGAUGGCAAAGGUAUAAUAAUACGACACAUCUCAUUUUUAGUCGUCUCUUCAAUUUCCUUGAUAAUAGUGAGUCUUUGCCGUUUCACAAAUGCAGGCCGAGGUUCACUAUGAGUGAAUUUUCGUUUUCUAUCUGCCCGACAAUCGAAUUUGGAUGGUAAACAGUUUGGUUUCAUUCGAAUUCAUUUGAUGGAGCUCAUUAUCUUGUAUUGCAUAUAAUUCUCCAUGUAGUUUUCCAGCUAAAACAUGAAAUAAUUUUCCAACAAUUUCAAUACAUAA
Bombyx mori (domestic silkworm) is the source of this 3863-nucleotide long non-coding RNA. RefSeq lists it as uncharacterized. The record is from RefSeq and is a predicted model, not a curated record. The transcript is spliced from 3 exons. NCBI's taxonomy places the organism in Eukaryota, Metazoa, Arthropoda, Insecta, Lepidoptera, Bombycidae.